Molecule: long non-coding RNA, 305 nt
Filed under: Androctonus crassicauda
Lineage: Eukaryota; Metazoa; Arthropoda; Arachnida; Scorpiones; Buthidae
Source: RNAcentral
CUCUUAGCACUGACCAAUGCUUGUGAUGGAGUGGAGAGUGAGGAUGGGCCUCAGCGAGCAGCCUCCUCCCUCAUGGAGGGAGGUCAUAUCCCCAGCCCCAGGGACCUCUUCAUCUAUAUAAUUUAGCAUCCCACAGAAGGACUUCCAGUAGUAAUUUAUGUGACCUGGGGGCAGGAUACUGUCAGUGAGGUGUUCAGAGCUGCGCCCUUCGGUCCAUCUCCCAUUCCCUUCCCCGUCAGAGUUUGGGUUCUGGCAGGGAUCUGGGGGUACACCACUGCUACACUGUCCCACUGCUUGCCUCCGUG